RNAcentral lists this ribosomal RNA (959 nucleotides) under uncultured Gammaproteobacteria bacterium. Its description in RNAcentral is "bacterial SSU rRNA". It matches the Rfam family "Bacterial small subunit ribosomal RNA", at positions 8 to 958 of the family's 1533-position model. Lineage: Bacteria; Pseudomonadati; Pseudomonadota; Gammaproteobacteria. The record is from RNAcentral.
AGAGUUUGAUCCUGGCUCAGAUUGAACGCUGGCGGCAGGCCUAACACAUGCAAGUCGAGCGGUAACAUUCCUAGCUUGCUAGGAGAUGACGAGCGGCGGACGGGUGAGUAAUGCUUGGGGAUCUGCCUGAUGGAGGGGGACAACCACUGGAAACGGUGGCUAAUACCGCGUAAUGUCUACGGACCAAAGUGUGGGACCUUCGGGCCACACGCCAUCAGAUGAACCCAAGUGAGAUUAGCUAGUUGGUGGGGUAAAGGCUCACCAAGGCGACGAUCUCUAGCUGGUUUGAGAGGAUGAUCAGCCACACUGGGACUGAGACACGGCCCAGACUCCCACGGGAGGCAGCAGUGGGGAAUAUUGGACAAUGGGGGCAACCCUGAUCCAGCCAUGCCGCGUGUGUGAAGAAGGCCUUCGGGUUGUAAAGCACUUUCAGCGAGGAGGAAGGGGGUAGUGUUAAUAGCACUGUUUCUUGACGUUACUCGCAGAAGAAGCACCGGCUAACUCUGUGCCAGCAGCCGCGGUAAUACAGAGGGUGCAAGCGUUAAUCGGAAUUACUGGGCGUAAAGCGCACGCAGGCGGUUUGUUAAGUCAGAUGUGAAAGCCCCGGGCUCAACCUGGGAAUUGCAUUUGAAACUGGCAAGCUAGAGUACGAGAGAGGGGGGUAGAAUUCCACGUGUAGCGGUGAAAUGCGUAGAGAUGUGGAGGAAUACCGGUGGCGAAGGCGGCCCCCUGGCUCGAUACUGACGCUCAGGUGCGAAAGCGUGGGGAGCAAACAAGAUUAGAUACCCUGGUAGUCCACGCCGUAAACGAUGUCUACUAGCUGUUCGAGGUCUUGUACUUUGGGUAGCGCAGCUAACGCAUUAAGUAGACCGCCUGGGGAGUACGGUCGCAAGAUUAAAACUCAAAUGAAUUGACGGGGGCCCGCACAAGCGGUGGAGCAUGUGGUUUAAUUCGACGCA